Molecule: microRNA precursor, 114 nt
Filed under: Mus caroli (Ryukyu mouse)
Lineage: Eukaryota; Metazoa; Chordata; Mammalia; Rodentia; Muridae
Description: microRNA 496b (MGP_CAROLIEiJ_G0007630.1)
Source: RNAcentral
UUGGAGGCAGAUGGCCGAUAAUUACUGAAACAAUUCUGAUUUUGUACAAAAAAAAUUCUCAACGAGGUUAGUUAAUGGUUAUCAUGAUUGCAACAUGGCCAAUUCCUUUCAUCU